CGAACUCUGGUAUUGAUUGGUGCUUGCAUCAUGAUUUACAUUUGAGUGAGUGGCGAACUUGGUGAGUAACACGUGGGAAACCUGCCCAGAAGCGGGGGAUAACACCUGGAAACAGAUGCUAAUACCGCAUAACAACUUGGACCGCAUGGUCCGAGUUUGAAAGAUGGCUUCGGCUAUCACUUUUGGAUGGUCCCGCGGCGUAUUAGCUAGAUGGUGGGGUAACGGCUCACCAUGGCAAUGAUACGUAGCCGACCUGAGAGGGUAAUCGGCCACAUUGGGACUGAGACACGGCCCAAACUCCUACGGGAGGCAGCAGUAGGGAAUCUUCCACAAUGGACGAAAGUCUGAUGGAGCAACGCCGCGUGAGUGAAGAAGGGUUUCGGCUCGUAAAACUCUGUUGUUAAAGAAGAACAUAUCUGAGAGUAACUGUUCAGGUAUUGACGGUAUUUAACCAGAAAGCCACGGCUAACUACGUGCCAGCAGCCGCGGUAAUACGUAGGUGGCAAGCGUUGUCCGGAUUUAUUGGGCGUAAAGCGAGCGCAGGCGGUUUUUUAAGUCUGAUGUGAAAGCCUUCGGCUCAACCGAAGAAGUGCAUCGGAAACUGGGAAACUUGAGUGCAGAAGAGGACAGUGGAACUCCAUGUGUAGCGGUGAAAUGCGUAGAUAUAUGGAAGAACACCAGUGGCGAAAGCGGCUGUCUGGUCUGUAACUGACGCUGAGGCUCGAAAGUAUGGGUAGCAACAGAUUAGAUACCCUGGUAGUCCAUACCGUAACGAUGAUGCUAGUGUGGAGGGUUUCGCCCUUCAGUGCUGCAGCUACGCAUAGCAUCCGCCUGGGGGAGUACGGCCGCAAGGCUGAAACUCAAGG
Molecule: ribosomal RNA, 866 nt
Filed under: Lactiplantibacillus plantarum
Lineage: Bacteria; Bacillati; Bacillota; Bacilli; Lactobacillales; Lactobacillaceae
Description: bacterial SSU rRNA
Rfam family: Bacterial small subunit ribosomal RNA
Source: RNAcentral